GCACCUGCGGUAAUUCCAGCUCCAAUAGCGUAUAUUAAAGUUGUUGCAGUUAAAAAGCUCGUAGUUGAACUUCUGUACAGUCUCACUUCUGGCUUCGGUCAAGGUGUUGGCUGUGCAUCCGCUUGCAAAGCUGGUUCGGCCUUAACUGGUCGGCUAGUAGAGUAAGCCCUUUACUUUGAAAAAAUUAGAGUGUUUCAGGCAGGCAAUGGCUCGAAUACAUUAGCAUGGAAUAAUGGAAUAGGACUUUUGUCCAUUUGGUUGGUUCUUGGACUUAAGUAAUGAUUAAAAGGGACAGUUGGGGGCAUUGGUAUUUAACAGUCAGAGGUGAAAUUCUUGGAUUUGUUAAAGACUAACUUAUGCGAAAGCAUUUGCCAAGGAUGUUUUCAUUAAUCAAGAACGAAAGU
RNAcentral lists this ribosomal RNA (404 nucleotides) under uncultured eukaryote. Its description in RNAcentral is "SSU rRNA". It matches the Rfam family "Eukaryotic small subunit ribosomal RNA", at positions 570 to 990 of the family's 1831-position model. The record is from RNAcentral.